This 323-nucleotide ribosomal RNA is filed under the name uncultured eukaryote. Its description in RNAcentral is "partial 18S ribosomal RNA". It matches the Rfam family "Eukaryotic small subunit ribosomal RNA", at positions 1470 to 1796 of the family's 1831-position model. The record is from RNAcentral.
CCCUUAGAUGUUCUGGGCCGCACGCGCGCUACACUGACUGGUGCAACGAGUUUAUAACCUUGGUCGAUGGGCCUGGGUAAUCUUUGAACGCCAGUCGUGAUGGGGAUAGAUUAUUGCAAUUAUUAAUCUUCAACGAGGAAUUCCUAGUAAACGCAAGUCAUCAGCUUGCAUUGAUUACGUCCCUGCCCUUUGUACACACCGCCCGUCGCACCUACCGAUUGAAUGGUCCGGUGAAGCCUCUGGAUCGAGACGUUUGGGGCAACCUGAGCGCUCACGAGAAGUUGGCUAAACCUUACCAUUUAGAGGAAGGUGAAGUCGUANCA